UCCUGGAUCUCGCUGAGGGCAAGACAAAGAUUCACACAAAAGCCUGGGUGAAAAAGUCAGGCUCCAAACCGGAGGCGCUGAAUGAUUCUAUUUACAGAAACUCCUCAAAAUUUCAAAAUGACACAGAGGGAGAACAAGCUGGCGGUGGCCACCGAUCAGGAACGGGAAGGGCGCGUGGGCGGAAACGCCCAGAGGUAACGCGGAAAAGCUGUGGACGCGGGAUGGAUAGCACAAAGCGACAUGCUCACAGGCACGUGUGCACCAAGGAACGCAAGCCAACAGCCGGUGACAACGGAACAAAACCUGCAACUCUGUUGAUAGUGGUAUAUUAGCGUCCACGUCCUGGUUUUAACACUGUGCUACGCCACCAGUAGGGUCACCACUGCGGGAAACCUGGGAGGAUCUUCGCCUGCAUAUCCAGGAUGUCUAACUUCGCCAAGAUUCUUCGUGUCAUCAUCUGCCAGAAGAGACCGCCUUCAAGGGGAGGAGGAGGAGGAGGAGGAAGAGGAGAAGGAGAAGGAGGAAGAAAUCUCUAGGUCAAAUGUCAAUACGUCACUGGUUAUUUCGGCACAAAAAGAGACUCAGCUUUACCUUACUGUUGUGGGUACAUAACAGAGCCGUGCAGAUCACAGGAUAAAUGAUAGCAUUAUAAGCGAACCCAAGUUUCUGGAGAGAAGCCCACAUCAUCGGAACCCCCACAUAUGUGUGGGCCCCAGCAAUUUUUAUGCCUAAGAUAAAGUAGAGCCGGAGAGGGUUCAAGAUUCCUGCAGGAGAACAGGUAUGACUCGAAAAUGACAUCACAAAGAUAGUGACACGGACACGGAUCAUCACAGCAUGGCUGUAGUGGGAAAAAAACUGUUUUAAAAUUCUUUAGCUAUGAGGGAAAUCCCAGCUGUGACAUGAGUUCUGGCAGAUCACUGUGCCUCUCACAAAUUUUUACAAGUUUGGAAGAAUCAAUUAUUUUUAGGUGUUGAAGAGAUUUACGAACACUCAACAAUGAAAUUAAGGGAAUGUUUUUAGUUCCACAGUUUUACAUUUUGGAGGCAACAUUUAUUUUUUUCCAGUUUGCAGACUUCCCCACUGCAGACCUGCGGCAGUGGAGAGCUGUAGGGGAGGAGGAGGAGCGGGGAGACGCUGUAGACAACUUCCUGCCUGCAGCAGCCCCCACCCGGUGCGGCCGGUCUGUGCACCCUGAGAGCAAAGGAGCAAGGACGAGGAGGACGGGACCCGCGCCUGACCUUCUGAUCAAAAUGUGCUCACCCGACUUGACGGUGCUCAGUGCCACAUCCCUGUCUCGGCUGCUCUUGCUCCGGACCUGUCGCUUCGCUGCUUAUUAUCAUCUGAUAUAAACACUCAUCGGUUCUUUAGUCUGGCCUAGAAGAAUCACAUCCACAGGUUCCUCCCUCUCUCCCAUAUCUUUCAUCUCUUUGUUUCCACCGGUUUCUUCUCCCCAAGUGUCUUCUAUGUGUAAAAUAGGGAAAGAAGUUUUUUUUCCUGGCUCUCCUUAUUUUCCCUCACCUUGCCCUUUACUGCCAGUUUUCCUCAUGUCACGGUCCAUGUGUAAAGGUUCUCAUUUCCCGCGUCCCUUUUCCUCCUCCUGUGUCCCUCGGCUCCGCUCACGCCGCCAACCCUCGGGAGGUGGCCAGGUCGCCUUGCACAGAUGAGCGAGUGCGUUUCUGCUCCUGGCUCAUCUGAAUUUUUAUAAGCUCUGCUAAAGUUGGGCGCUGCACUCCCUCUAUGGAAAUUCUUGCCUCUCUUGGUUUCUAUGACAACAGUCAUCUCUUGCCACCUUUUCUGCAGAUUGUCAGGGUCCUGAACGUGCUGUUCCUCAGCUCUCCCUAAGUGCUGCGUCCCUCCUCAAUCCGAGGCAAACUCUCAAACCGUAGCUUCAUUUCCCAGCCAGCCUCUCUGCCCAGCUCCACCCGCCCUCCUAAAGUAGCCAAGUACAGGCUUAAGCGUCGCCUUCCCGCCUCCUUCCUCCCCUCUGCUCAGACAUCUCUUCUAGGCUUGACUGGCAUGCGAGCCUGUCGGGCUUCUCACACGCAUGUGGGAGCCACAGUUGCUCUUGAUCUCGGGUCCAGUGCAGGAGGAGCUGGAAAACCUCCAAGGAACACCAACUCCCAGUUGCCACCCCACAUCCUCUGACUCUGAAUUUACAGAGGCAAAAACUGCAAAUGUCGUCAUUAAUGCCGUUCCGAUGCAGAUCUUCCCCAGACCAGGACGUGACCCUUUCUUCUCCGGAAAACCACUUCCCCCGCCCCCUCUCACCUACACGCACAAUCGCUGCAUCUUCGUGAGCUGCGUCCGAAACCGCUUUCCCCUCGUCUCCUCCCAUCCAUUUGGACCUCUACUGCCUCGGCUUAAGAAUCUACAAUUGAAAUAGCUUAAAGUUUUGCCUAUGCAUUUCAUCCAUUUUAUCUUCCAUUCUACCCUUCUCAUGUAUGAAAUAUUCUUUCAAGAAAAAUAUAAUCACAUGCGUCUCCCUCCUGAAAACUUCCACCCGCCAACAGCUUUCAAAACAGACAUCAAGCUCUGUGAUUUGUCACAUGGAACUCCCGAGUCUGGCCUCAAACUGAGCCCUUAACUGCACCUGCGGCUUGCUGGUGUGCCCUGGACCCUGCAGUCCUAAUGGACCAGUCGUGUUCCCUCAGUGGGCUGCAUUGUGCUUUACUCAUUGCUAUGCUUUCCAAAUCAUCUAUCUAUAAUGCCAUUCUUCCAUUCCCUGUAUCCCUAAAUUCCAUUCAUCCUUCAAAGCCCAACACAAGUAACAUCUCUGCUUGGAUGCUUUCCCUGAUACGUUACGAUCUAGAUGUCAAACAUCUGUGCUCUUGUGCAGUCUUUUAUAUACACCAUCCUAGCACUCAGCCUGAUUUAAUAAAACAUUUAUUAAAAUACACACACACACACACACUCACACACACAAUGUGUUUCUUGAAGGCAGAAACCAUAGCUGACUCAUCGUUACACCUCCAGGCACCCAACAGCCAAAAUGAUGGGUUCACCUUCAGCCACAUGCAACGGACAACGGGCCAUCAGAGCUGCCUGAAACAGGAUGCUGAUCAGAUCCAGUUGUAAAGUGGGAGCCUUGGUGUGUGCCUCAGUAUCCGCAGAAGGACCUCCAAACUCCUCUGAAUAUGAGACCAAAGAUCCCCAAACUCUUCCAAGCAUGAGACAAUUCAAGAAAAGACAGCCUGGGGUCAGCUCAACAACCCUCUCCAGCUGUGUGUGUCCCUCUGUGUUCCCACAUUUGGUUCCAUCCCUGUGACCAGGACAUGGCCUGGUAGGUCCUGCUCCAUCAUUUUCCUUCCACUCAGAAUGCUCUUUCUGCCCAUCUUCUGGCCCAAAGCAGAUUUCCCCAUGCCCUGGUGCAAAGGUCCUGCCUGUAAGAAGCUUCCCUCAGCCUCCCCCAUUCCUUGCCUGGGUGACGGUCUCUCUCCCUUGAGCUGCUUCUGCACUUUCUCCUUGAUUCCGUUGCUUUGUGCUGACUAGAUCCUGCCAGACGUCUCUCCCAAGCUGGAGGGAGGCCCAUCAAAGGCAGCAUCGAGGCAGCCACUGCCACACCUCUGCCUAGGCAAAGCCUUCCCCACCUGAAUGGGGUCUGCGGAUCAGGGUGAGAUCUAGAGAGGUCUCUGAACAUAAAAAUUCAGGCUGAGCAUUCCCCUUGACCUGUAGUAGUGAUGAUCUCCUGCAGGACGGAAGAGGAAGUGGAAUAAAUUACAAAACAUCAGUCUUACCAAAUCUACAUCAGUAAGAUCAUUUUAAAAGGAAAUUGGAUAUGUUCUUAAUUACUAGGUCAGUAGUAAGUUUUAUUUGCAGGGGUGGAAUACUGUUGUGGGAGGAAAUUGAUACAUGACAUGUGGAGAGACAGAAUGGAAGUAAAAUAACAAAAAGUUUAUUUUGUCAACAAAAGGCUGAUCACACUAACAGCAAUGCCAGAGAUUGACCCCUACUGCCUUGCAGCUCCCUCUUUUAUAGGGUUUUACAGCCUUGAUCUCAUUCAGGUGUUGACAUUUCAUUUUCUCAGUUCAUAUUACCAAUAUACAAACCAUGGUCACAAGACAGUUAACUUUCAACCCAGAUGUAGCAAUUCUUUGUAGUUAGGGGAGAGUUAGGGGAACCUUUAAGAUUUGCCUAGCUAUCUAUCCUAGCUCAUAGGACGGGGAUGUUCAGGGUCGGGAAAGCAGAUGUUAACAAAGGUUAUUUUCAUCUUGACACUUUUACAAUCGUGGUUUACAGAACUUUGGGGCUCAGGGUCUUAAUGUGCCCUGUUGUCUCAGGAUGAGACCAGAUGCCUCAUUCAGUGGCUAAUGCCUCUGGUGUCUGUUAAUUCUGAACUCAACAGAGCAAACUGCUAUUAGAGACACCAGAAGCCACACUGCAUUGUGACAUUUUGUAGGUGUUGCUAUUUACAAGAGUUUUCUCUACAAAUACAGUGAAGCAGAGAACUGUCCAGUUGGGGUGCAGUGAAUUCCUGAUCUCGCUAGGCUGGGAACCAACCGGGCCUCACUCCUAUCAGAGAUUUCAGGGCCAACAUGAAGGCAAGUCAGAGGUUGAGUCUGAACUUACCUCACGCAGAGCUUGAAAGCAGCUCAUUUCACAGGCACGAUUUCAUUUUAAAGGUUUGCACCACUGAGACUGAAACCAAAAAACAAACAAAACUAAAUACUGUAGAUUCCAAGGCCCCCUGACUAGGCUUCUUCAGCAAGCUUUUCUAAAAGAAAAAUGCAGGUAAACCACAACAGGAGCCCAAAAACUAACCAGGAAUCCAGAGAGUGAAGGUUUAACCUGAAGCUACUUCGGUGAUGUGGCUUUAUUGGGUCGGAUGUACUUCCCUUACACUUUUAUCUGACGCAGCCCCUAGGCACUGUAGGGAGACCUCCGUGGCUUUCAGCCCCACUUCCAUGAUUAAUUUUCACUCCAUCAUGAGAUGCCUGGCUGGAUCCCUCUGCUUCACACCACAAGUGCAGGCCCCAGGAAAACUUCUUCUCUUUUAAAUCUGAUAUGUCCAUAAAUGGCCCACACUAUGGGUUGAAUUAUGUCCCCUCACCCCCGUGCUGAAGCCCUGAGUUUUGGUCACUCAAAAUGGAGUUGCUGGGAAAUGGGAGGUCACCUUAACAGGGGGCUGUGAGGGGACCCCUGUCCAAAUGAUGGUGCCCUGGUAAGGAGAGGAGAUGGGAGCAGGUGAUGCCUGUGGCAGCCCAGGAGGGCAGCUCCUCACCUGCAGGUCAAGGAGCAGAACCAUGUCAAUCAACUUCCAGCCUCCACAGCCAUGAAAACACUCUUCUGUCCUUUACCAUCUCUGUCUUUGGUAUUUGUUAUGACAGCUCCCAAAAACUAACUAAUAAAGCCCACAAACAGGGACCUCUGAUCCCGAAGCCACCAAUAAAGAGGUCAACUGAACUUGGCCCUGUGCUCAGAUCCAUGCCAUGCAUUUUUACCUGCCCUGUUGGUUCUAAAGAGAAUGUGAAAGGAAGUUUAUUCUUCACUUUUUAAGCUUUACUAAAGUUUGCCCUUUACCAACUUGAGGUUGGAAGGGAGGUUUCUAAGGAAAAACACCAAUGAAUUUCUGAAGUACAGUGUGAGUGCUGGGGAUCCCCGCUAGGGCCACAGGUCAGACCCCUCAGACCACACCGUAAGCCACACAGGGACUGACUCUCCCCGCACCGGCCUGCACCCUCCUGCCUCGGCUUCUCCAGGCUCCACAGGGAACCCAGGCCAAACACUGAUGCCCAGGGAGCUGUAAUGGGAGGCAGAAGGGGUCAAAAGGAAGCCUGCUACUGGUAAGGGCAGGAGAGGGAAGGCUUUGCUGGGGGAACCCUGGAUCGGCUGUGCAUGCACAUUGCCUGGCACCCGCACCCCAACCCAGUUGCACUCCCCGCAUCAGCCUGGCCUCCACCCAGAUGCAGCUCCUGGCUCUGAUUCUGCUUCCCAAGGCCCCAUCUGCCCAGUAAGUCAGCUCCGUCUUCCCUUCUGCUCCCUCCCCUUCUAAGCAAUGCGUCCUGUAUCCAUGGAAACAACUUCUAGAUUCAAGCGGAUUAGGUGGAAGUCUUGGCAGGAAAGAGGAAGACCGAGGAAGAGGACAGACAGUGGGGCAGUGACUUUGCUUCCUUUAAUCCCUUCUGCCUUUUGUGCUUUCCUUUGCAUAACACACAAACACACACACAGUUUUCUUUUUGUUAGAAACUGCUAGUCAUAGCCUACGUGUGAAAACAUUGUGAUCAAUUUCUUUCACAUACUUAAUGUAUAAGAAAUGCAAUCAUAAAAAUAAAAAUGUAUGAGGUGGUUUAGCUGGGAUUGAUAAGCAUGCCAGUAAUCCCAAAAUUCUGGGAGGCUGAGG
This is a long non-coding RNA of Fukomys damarensis (Damara mole-rat), 6337 nucleotides long. RefSeq lists it as uncharacterized. The record is from RefSeq and is a predicted model, not a curated record. Lineage: Eukaryota; Metazoa; Chordata; Mammalia; Rodentia; Bathyergidae. The transcript is spliced from 3 exons.